AUUUCUUAUGAACUUUUCAGAAAAAUUUAACAUUUUAGUGUAUUUCCAGAUGAAAUAUUACUUGUUCCAAAAGACAGUGGGCUGUAGUGGGCCACUCACAGUUGGCAGGUGUUGAAAACAUUUGAUUUGUAUUGUUUUCUUCCAUAAGAUUAUCAUAAACAAGCAUGCACCAUUUGUCAAUGGACGUUUUAAAAGCAAAUAACUAUCAAUCAAUCAGUUUUUGAAUCUGGUCAGUGCUAGUCUUUUAUGCCCCGUCCCAUAGUGGAGGGGACUAAGUUUUACCCUUCAUGAUCGUUUCCCUAGCCAACAUUGGUUAUCUCUAUUAACUUGCCUCAACCAAAUGUUAUGAAACUUGUACACAAAACUUAUUAGCACAAAACACAGAUCAAGUUCAAAUUUGGGUAGCAUCACUUUUACAGUUCUUAAAAUAUGUUCAUUUAAAAUGGUAUA
RNAcentral lists this long non-coding RNA (450 nucleotides) under Mytilus galloprovincialis (Mediterranean mussel). Lineage: Eukaryota; Metazoa; Mollusca; Bivalvia; Mytilida; Mytilidae. The record is from RNAcentral.